RNAcentral lists this ribosomal RNA (459 nucleotides) under Eimeria raichoi. RNAcentral describes it as "SSU rRNA". It matches the Rfam family "Eukaryotic small subunit ribosomal RNA", at positions 492 to 952 of the family's 1831-position model. The record is from RNAcentral. Lineage: Eukaryota; Apicomplexa; Conoidasida; Eucoccidiorida; Eimeriidae.
AUUUUAUGCUUUGUAAUUGGAAUGAUGGGAAUGUAAAACCCUUCCAGAGUAACAAUUGGAGGGCAAGUCUGGUGCCAGCAGCCGCGGUAAUUCCAGCUCCAAUAGUGUAUAUUAGAGUUGUUGCAGUUAAAAAGCUCGUAGUUGGAUUUCUGUCGUGGUCAGCCGGCGCCGCCCGUAAUGGGUGCGCGCGUGGUUUGCCCGCGGCUUUCUUCCGGUAGCCUUCCGCGCUUCGGUGCGUGUGUUGUGUGUUCCGGAACUUUUACUUUGAGAAAAAUAGAGUGUUUCAAGCAGGCUUGUCGCCCUGAAUACUGCAGCAUGGAAUAAUAAGAUAGGACCUUGGUUCUAUUUUGUUGGUUUCUAGGACCAAGGUAAUGAUUAAUAGGGACAGUUGGGGGCAUUCGUAUUUAACUGUCAGAGGUGAAAUUCUUAGAUUUGUUAAAGACGAACUACUGCGAAAGC